Molecule: unclassified non-coding RNA, 148 nt
Filed under: soil metagenome
Description: partial internal transcribed spacer 1
Source: RNAcentral
CCGAGUUUACAACUCCCAAACCCCUGUGAACAUACCUAUACUGUUGCCUCGGCGGAUCAGCCCGCGCCCCGUAAAACGGGACGGCCCGCCGCAGGAUCCACAAACUCUGAUUUUAUUGUAGCUUCUGAGUUAAAAAACAAAUAAAUCA